CUUGUCCCAGCAGCGUUAUCAAAAAUCGACCCGGCACAGCAGAAAGAACUUUAAUCCAUGCGCCCAGACACGUGCCAGCAGCUCCCAACACCAUCGUUACUUUAAGACCCUAAAAUAUAAUUAUAACUUACAAGCAAAUAUUUCUACUAAAUACAAUAUCGGGUGUAAAAGGCAUAACAGCAAACGCCUAAGUAAAAUUUGAACUGAUUGUAUAACAUAUUUUAAUGUACUUAUAAUUUAAUAUAAGAUAAUAUGAAUCUAAAUUCCAAUGUAGAGAUUGUUAAAGAUAAUUCAUUAUUACAUAGGGAUUGGUGUACUUUUAUAUCCAUAGGAUUAUUUAAAUAAUAAAAUUACGUUAAUGUA
This is a long non-coding RNA of Aphis gossypii (cotton aphid), 363 nucleotides long. RefSeq lists it as uncharacterized. The transcript is spliced from 2 exons. Lineage: Eukaryota; Metazoa; Arthropoda; Insecta; Hemiptera; Aphididae. The record is from RefSeq and is a predicted model, not a curated record.